This 205-nucleotide ribosomal RNA is filed under the name uncultured bacterium. RNAcentral describes it as "partial 16S ribosomal RNA". It matches the Rfam family "Bacterial small subunit ribosomal RNA", at positions 566 to 771 of the family's 1533-position model. The record is from RNAcentral.
GGUGCGUAUGCGGGCUGUUAUGUCGGUGGUCCAAUGUCUGGGCUCAACCCCAGCCUGCCGUUGAAACUGGCGGUCUUGAGUGAGCGAGAAGUAUGCGGAAUGCGUGGUGUAGCGGUGAAAUGCAUAGAUAUCACGCAGAACUCCGAUUGCGAAGGCAGCAUACCGGCGCUCAACUGACGCUGAGGCACGAAAGCGUGGGGAUCGA